Molecule: ribosomal RNA, 453 nt
Filed under: Naja atra (Chinese cobra)
Lineage: Eukaryota; Metazoa; Chordata; Lepidosauria; Squamata; Elapidae
Description: partial 16S ribosomal RNA
Rfam family: Bacterial large subunit ribosomal RNA
Source: RNAcentral
CAAAGGUAGCGUAAUCACUUGUCUAUUAAUUGUAGACCUGUAUGAAAGGCAAAACGAGGGCCUAUCUGUCUCUUGUAGUAAAUCAAUUAAACUGAUCUCCCAGUCCAAAAGCUGGGAUGCCAACAUAAGACCAGAAGACCCUGUGAAGCUUAAACUAAACUAUUAAAUCCUAUAAUAGCUCCUUUCGGUUGGGGCGACCCUGGAAAAAAAAAGAACUUCCAAACAUACUGACCUUACAGUCACCUACCCUAGGCCAACAAGCCUAACAACGACCCAGCACAGCUGAUAAUUGAACCAAGUUACUCCAGGGAUAACAGCGCUAUCUUCUUCAAGAGCCCAUAUCAAAAAGAAGGUUUACGACCUCGAUGUUGGAUCAGGACAUCCUAAUGGUGCAGCCGCUAUUAAGGGUUCGUUUGUUCAACGAUUAACAGUCCUACGUGAUCUGAUUUCAAA